UAGUUAAAAGUGAAGAAAUGGAGAUGGGCAGGAUGGUGACAAAGGGGAGAAGGAAGUAAAUAAGGGAUCGAGAGAUGAGUUGGGAAGGAUCACUCUCUGUUUCUCAACCUUUCACUGAGAGAGGGAGAAGAGGAAGAAAGAGAGGUGGGUUCUUCUCAACCUGGCCCUGGAGAAGAAGUAAGAACAAAAGGGAAGGAGAGAAAGGGGAGAAGAGGAGGUCAGAGGGGAGAGGAGGAGGAAGAGAGGCCAGAGGUGACCAUUCUUGACAUGGUCAGGAAAGGAGUCAGGGUGAAGUCCCAGCUGUGUUUCCCUCCUUCUCCCCAACCCAAGAGAGGCGAGUGAGGCUUCCUCUCAAUCUAGUGCUGGAGAAGAAGUAAGAACAAAAGGGGAAAAGAGGAGGAGGAGGAGGGCAAAGGGGAGAGGAGGACGAGGAGGAAGAGGAAGAGGAGAGGUGACCAACCAUUCUUGACAUGGCAACUGGAUCUCAGGAGGAGGAAGAAGGAGGCAACCCAGGCGAGGAGUUGCUGGAGCUGUCAAACCCCGAAGAGGGAAAGUGUUGUGUCGUCAUCCUUCUUGAGGAGAAGAAAGAGAAGGGCUGAAUGAGAUUUCUGCAGCAGCCAAGGCUUGGAUCAGCUGGUGACGGGAGCGUGUCCUCUGCAGCUUCCUUCUUCUUUCUCACCAACACCUCCAGCCUGUUAUUACCUUUAAAAAUGGGACAUUGGCAUCAUGGUCUCCCAUAAAUCUUAACUCUUCGUACGGUAAUUGGUUUAUAGGAGCCACGGUGGCGCAAUGGGUUAAACCCUUGCGCUGGCUGAACUGCUGACCUGAAGAUUGGUGGUUCGAAUCCGCAAGAGAGGAUGAGCUCCCAUCUGUCAGCCCUAGCUUCCCAUGCAGGGACAUGAGAGAAGCCCCCUGCAGGAUGGUAACACAUCUUUGAAGAUGGCUGAUUCUCUCACACCAGAAGUGACUUGCCUUAAUUCGCUUCUGACACAAUAAAAAAGUAAACAGUU
Anolis carolinensis (green anole) is the source of this 1010-nucleotide long non-coding RNA. RefSeq lists it as uncharacterized. The transcript has 2 exons. Lineage: Eukaryota; Metazoa; Chordata; Lepidosauria; Squamata; Anolidae. The record is from RefSeq and is a predicted model, not a curated record.